UCAUUUCAUGUUUUUAUUGAUAUUUUGGAAAUUGUAGCGUAUAAAAGGCUUCAAAAUAAUUUACUGGCCUUUUAUACGCUACAAUUUCCAAAAUAUCAAUAAAAACAUG
Molecule: non-coding RNA, 109 nt
Organism: Paramuricea clavata
Lineage: Eukaryota; Metazoa; Cnidaria; Anthozoa; Malacalcyonacea; Plexauridae
Source: the annotation of a GenBank genome assembly